RNAcentral lists this microRNA (22 nucleotides) under Oryza sativa (Asian cultivated rice). Its description in RNAcentral is "osa-miR2118k". The record is from miRBase by way of RNAcentral. RNAcentral also lists the same sequence under 1 other name. Lineage: Eukaryota; Viridiplantae; Streptophyta; Magnoliopsida; Poales; Poaceae.
UUCCUGAUGCCUCUCAUUCCUA